This is a long non-coding RNA of Pseudopipra pipra, 3197 nucleotides long. RefSeq lists it as uncharacterized. Lineage: Eukaryota; Metazoa; Chordata; Aves; Passeriformes; Pipridae. The transcript has 2 exons. The record is from RefSeq and is a predicted model, not a curated record.
CCUCAGCGCCCUGCGCGCGGGGUGAGGCGCGGUGGUGGGAAUAAAGUCCUCCCUUGAGCGGCGGGAGGCCCUGGCACAGGCUGCCCAGAGAAGCUGUGGAUGCCCCAUCCCUGCAAGUGUCCAAGGCCAGGCUGGACGGGGCUUGGAGCAACCUGGGAUAGGGGAAGGUGUCUCUGCCCAUGGAAUUAGGGCUGGAAUGAGCUGGUCUUUAAAGUCGUUUCCAACCCAACCCAGUUUGGGAAUCUACGAUCUUCAGAUGUUAAAAUUCAUGCUAGAAAUGAGCAGGUGUCUUGAGCAGUCGUAUAUCCCACCUAAGUACAAGGGUGACUUAUAAAGAACCUCGAACGUGUUGUAAAUAAGCAGGAGUUGCAAAGCAGUGUAUUUUUCCAAAACAGACCCCUUUGCAUUUAAAGGGAAUUUGGAGCUCUUGGAGAUGUUUUAACUGCAAGUUUUAUGGGGCUGCCCCAGAGUCGGCCCAGACAUUGACCUGUGCACUGAGCCGUGAGACUUGUGGAAUUCCUGGCUGGUUUCACUGGCAGGUUGUGGCCUCCCCAUCCCUUUGGGAAUUGUCCAACCCCAGGCUGGGCAAGGCUUGGAGCAACCUGCUCUAGUGCAAGGGAUCCCUGCCCACGGCAGGGGGUUGGAACCAGAUCAUCUUCAUUGUCCCUUCUCCCUGGUCCACUCUGUGACUCCACAGCACAUCCCACGGGGAGCAGGGAAGGAUCAGCCGCUCCCACCCCACCGUCCCCUCAGCCUCCCAGGGGGGAAUCAGAGGCAAAGUAGGACAAUGGUGUCCUGGGACAGCUCGGCUGGACCUGGGCCACUGGAACUGGCAUUUUGUAUAUUUUAUAUAAUAUAAUAUAUAUUAUAUUUAUAUAAUAUAAAUAUUUCACAUUACAUAUAUUUUAUAUAUUGUAUAUAUUUUAUAUAUUUCAUAUGGGCCACUGCACCUGAGCAUCCCUGCUCCACUCCAGCAGGGAUCUGUUCUGGGGCAGCAAAAUCACUGUAAUAUCAUAGAACCAUAGAAUAAUAUAUCCUUUUACUUCGGUCAGUGGCAGCUGUUCCUCCAAACCAGUUCUCUUUCCUGGAGGGAGAAUUUAAAUGUAAGGGUUCUGUUGUUUAGUUGUAGAUCUCAGGGGAGGUGGGAUAUGGAAUAUUUGGAUCAACAAAGCCAACCCGGUCUUUUUCAUAUACAAGACAUAUGAAUACAUCACUUAAAUGAACAACUUCUUUACAGCUGUGGACAGGUUUUAUACUGCCAUGAGGGGAUUCAGACACAAGUUAAAAACUUUGCCGUUCAAAGACCUGUUCCCUCCAUCCAAUUCCAGCAAUUAAGGGAGAGCUCCCUCCUCUGGAGCGCUUUAUCCUUGCGCUGAGAACAUCGGGCUGUGGAAUCGCUGAGGAAAUUACUGAAUUCAGUAAAAUCUCUUUUAAAAUCCCUUUGACCCAUAGCACAAAACGCAAAAUAUGUUGGAUUCACUGAAUAUAGAAAUAAAUUCACGUGUGUAUGGGCUGAUACCACCGAAGAAAUCAUUUCUGUGCUGUUGUAGGUUGGUUUGAACAGCUGUAAAACAAAUAGAUUUAACCUCAGGGCGUUUGCAACCGAAAAUUAAGUACAUUUCCCCAGCCAAAACAAAACACGUGUUUUGGGAAUUUGAAUGUUCUCCGUGGAAGGAACUGCAUUUUCUUCACAAACAGGUGUUUCUGGGGGUGAAUCACAGAGGAAAAGAUGAAUUAAAAAUAGGUGGUGGUGUAAUUUCUGUGAGAGGCUUCUGAGCAGGGAGAGUUUCUGAUUUAUUGAUUCCACCACUACUUGGAAAAAUAGAGGUAAUUUGUCUCUGUAAAUAGAAGUGGAACAAAGAAACUUGUCUUCAUUACCACUUUUUUCCCUUAUGGAAACACAAUUUUUUUUCUAACUUCUUGUCUGAAAAGAAAACCACAAUUACUGUAUAGAUUAAUUGCAGCUAAAUUAGCCCAACUUUUCAAACUCGAUUGCCACAUAAAACUGCAUAUUCUACUGCCAAAACAUGCUCACACAAUCUUCUAUUUGUAAGAUUUAACACUUCUUAAUCUAUUUAAUGGUUAGCAAAGUGAGUUAAGGAAAUAAUUAGUCCGUAAAGCAAUGGAAUUUAAGAAGCCUGGUUCGAAUUUGAUUAAAAUUGGCCAACAGGAUCAAAAAUUAAUCAAAGGGGGCUGACAGAGAGACUGCCUUGAACACCUUGUUUUCCUCAAGAGACAGGAGCACUGUGGGUCAGAACAAAAUUUAAAUGCUUUGUGAUGUACUAAAUUAAUGUUUAAGGAGACUGUAUAACGUAAAAUUCAGAUUAGAUUAGCAAGAUAUAAAUAUAAAUAAAUAUAAACCCCAAAUAGCUGAAAUUUGCUAAUGCCUAAGAUGUGAUUUCCCACUAACACAGCUACAAUGGGACCAGUUGUGCCGAGGGUUUAUCCCAUGGAAAGCUUUGCCAACAUAAUAUUUAGAGGGUUUUCUGCAGAGCAAACGCUGCUCCCUUAGGAAUAAACCCCUCCAAGCCCAGAAACAGGCAAUUAUCCCUCUGACAGGUUUGCUUUGCCAUAUAUUACGUGUAACAAACCAGGAAAUGAGACUGAAAUAUAAAAUAAGGUGCAAAUUUUCUGCAGCUUUUCUAAUGGAAUUACAUUAAUCCACACAGAAACAAACAGGAAUACUUCCAUGUCACCUAACCUAGAAACCAGAAGCGUUUUCUAGAACAGAAGCAACGUAUGCUGGGGCUUUUUCUGUUUGUUUUUUAUUUCCCUGACUUAUUAUUUUAUCAGCAUGUGGCUGGUUAUUCAUUUCCUGAGGAAAAACCAAUAAUCAAUGUCUGCCAGCGUUUGCUUUUUAUUUAAUUAGGAACACAGGACUGGAAAGAACCACUUAGAUCACCAAGCCCAGUCUCUAAUUAAACACUCUUCAAAAAAUAUCGAUUCAUCAAAGUUGCACAAAUAUGGUCAGUUUUAUAACACUGUAUCUCUGCAGAGACUGUGAGUGAUCUUCUGCUUUUUUUGUUUGUAAGGGUUUUUUAGUAUAAAGAGUGACUAUUAUUUCAAUGCAAAGAGCUCAUCACACAGACAUGUGAUUUUCAGUGAUUUUAUAUGGCACAAUUACAGUGCUUUGCACUGGAAAUUAGCAGCAUUUGAUCUAUGAUUAUUAUUAUUAAAUCUUUGUGUUAAUUUUCAUA